AAUAUUGUGAAGACUCUUUAUGCUACUACUAAUUGUUAAUACUUUGAUAUUAAAAGGAGAAUAACUAUGAUAAAAGAUAUAUUUUUUUUCAUAAUGACCGCACUGAAACAAUUAUGUUGAAUCAUAGACUUAAAUUUGUUUAUUCUCAUAUCUCUAAAAAAAAAUACUAAUAUUUUUCGUAUAUUUCUUUUGUAUGUCAAACCAUGGGAAGCAAA
Molecule: long non-coding RNA, 215 nt
Filed under: Nicotiana benthamiana
Lineage: Eukaryota; Viridiplantae; Streptophyta; Magnoliopsida; Solanales; Solanaceae
Description: long non-coding RNA (NBEN_LNC017162)
Source: RNAcentral